UUUACUUCAGCAUCAGUCACAAUAGAUCCAAUCCUGUCAUCAGAAUUGAGUACAUUAUUAAAGUCUCCACUUAGCAGCCAAGCAUUCUGAUUAGGAAUCUGAACUAAUCUGAGAUCACUCCAAAGCUGUUUCCUAAGUGAAGCUGUGUUAUGACCAUAUACCACACUUAAGUGAAUACUGAUCUGAUUCCUUAUAUCUUCCACUUGACAAUGAAUAACCUGAGCAGUUAUGGCUAAUAUAUGCAUUUGAAUAUGAGACUUCCAAAUCAGUCAGAUUCUCCCAUUAGUUGCAUUUGAAUAAUUGCACUGCACCAUCC
RNAcentral lists this long non-coding RNA (316 nucleotides) under Nicotiana benthamiana. RNAcentral describes it as "long non-coding RNA (NBEN_LNC031630)". The record is from RNAcentral. Lineage: Eukaryota; Viridiplantae; Streptophyta; Magnoliopsida; Solanales; Solanaceae.